RNAcentral lists this transfer RNA (86 nucleotides) under Spirosoma rhododendri. It matches the Rfam family "tRNA". From Rfam's summary of the family: Transfer RNA (tRNA) molecules are approximately 80 nucleotides in length. Their secondary structure includes four short double-helical elements and three loops (D, anti-codon, and T loops). Lineage: Bacteria; Pseudomonadati; Bacteroidota; Cytophagia; Cytophagales; Cytophagaceae. The record is from Rfam by way of RNAcentral.
GCCGGGAUGGCGGAAUCGGUAGACGCGCCGGACUUAAAAUCCUGUGGUCCUUACGGGCCGUGCGGGUUCGAUUCCCGCUCCUGGUA